GCGUAGAGCACGGCGAAACGAGUUCGUAAACACGGAGUAGACCCGAAUCGGAGUUGUAACGAAGGAGUUAUGGUCAAAAGAGUCUCAGUGGCAGAACCGUAAAUAUUUCGAAGUUGAAUUAAUAAAAAGAAAAUCUGUCAGCUCUCUCUCUCUCUCUCCCUCCCGAUAGUUUCAGAAACCCAUUCGGGCAGCCCCAUUCCAAGCCACCCCCAACGCCGUCUCAAGCCACCCCGACCCUCCGGAACGGACCCAGCAGCACCGGCCAGCUCCCGCCAUCAACCUCAGCCCGUCCGCCGCCCUUGCUGCUGUCUGGAGCCGCUGGAAAACGCAGCAGUUUUGGCCGAUUUUCCAACUUCAGUUUCUCCCUCAUCCGGCCACCAAAUCAGUCAUGUGAGGCAUCAGGGGCCAAACUGAACCACAGGAGGGACCUUCAAGAGGUCCAGCUAGCUCGGACCAGCAGUGAGUGGACCUUUCUUUUUAUUCAUCAUUUUCUGAAUCAGUUUUAUUCAGUGUGAUUUAUUCCUAUGAAUUUAAAGAUUCCUUCUAUACAUUGCUUAGCUGAUUUUGCUAAAGUUAUUUGGACAACAGACUUUGAGAUUUAUGAUUCAGAAAUAUUUAGCUCAGAUUUUAUCAGAAUACAGAGGAUGUCAGAUUUUAUCCAAGAUAAUUAUUUUAGACCACCAUGAAUUAUAGAAAGCAGAGUUUGAGUUUUCUAUCAGAUAAAAAGGGCAGCACAGUUAUAGAUUGAAUAAAGAUUCAGUUAUUCAUCAGAUCUUUCAGAAAUAUUAUGAUAUUUAUAUUUGAUAUUUUCUCAGCAGUUAAUAUUUUCUUAAACCACUGUGGAUACCCGGUUACAGAAACAGGUUGCCGUCAAAUAAGACGAUGUCUACGGACAUCCAGAUUGCCUUCGGUUUAUGUUGCCUUCGGAUAUGAUGAUGUCUACAGACAUCCAGUUUACUUUCAGUUACGUCAGUGCACUUGACAUUUGCCUCACGAGCUUUGGGGACGCCCGGACCGUGAGUGCCAGGAUUACGAAUCAGGCUGACUACGGUCUCCUGAAUCCUGCCAGGAAUUGCGGAUAAGGCUGACUACGGUUUCCUGAAUCCUGCCAGGAAUUGCGGAUCAGGCUGACUACGGUUUCCUGAAUCCUGCCAGGAAUUGCGGAUCAGGCUGACUACGGUCUCCUGAAUCCUGCCAGUUUGCGGCUCGGAUACACUAUGUGUCGCCGAGACCUGCCAGGGGAAGUGACAGAUUUACAGAGGAUUUGACAGUUUUACAGGGGUACACCUAGGUGGUAGUUUUAAAGAAAUUUCAGUGCUUUUAUGCAAAUAUUGAUUUCAGUGAUUUUACUUGAGUUUCUUAAUAUCGAGCAGUAACGGUAUAUAUAUGUUUACCUAAAUGCUUUGGACUUAUCAUAAUUCAAGUGCAGUUUAAAUAUUCA
Molecule: long non-coding RNA, 1441 nt
Organism: Prunus persica (peach)
Lineage: Eukaryota; Viridiplantae; Streptophyta; Magnoliopsida; Rosales; Rosaceae
Exons: 2
Source: RefSeq, a predicted model, not a curated record